This 253-nucleotide ribosomal RNA is filed under the name uncultured bacterium. RNAcentral describes it as "partial 16S ribosomal RNA". It matches the Rfam family "Bacterial small subunit ribosomal RNA", at positions 524 to 776 of the family's 1533-position model. The record is from RNAcentral.
UACAGAGGUCCCAAGCGUUGUCCGGAAUCACUGGGCAUAAAGGGCGCGUAGGCGGCUUUUCAAGUCAGGGGUGAAAUCCGGCAGCUCAACUGUCGAAGUGCCCUUGAUACUGAUGAGCUCGAGGGAGGUAGGGGUGUGUGGAACUUCCGGUGGAGCGGUGAAAUGCGUUGAUAUCGGAAGGAACGCCGGUGGCGAAAGCGACGCACUGGACCUCUUCUGACGCUGAGGCGCGAAAGCUAGGGGAGCAAACGGG